AAUAAUGCAAUGAAGUAACGCAGUAGAGUCUUAGGCACUAGUCAAGAGAGCUGAUGGUUGCUGGAAAUCAGCCUAUCCUAAGAACUUGAAUUACAUUAUGGAGCAAGAUUCGGUUGAUCCCGUUACAGAUAGUUAAGGUGACUGCAGCAGUGCAGUAAUCUGGGUGGUAACGCGGAAAAUUUCGUCCCUGAU
RNAcentral lists this non-coding RNA (192 nucleotides) under Ligilactobacillus acidipiscis. RNAcentral describes it as "Lactobacillus acidipiscis T-box sequence". It matches the Rfam family "T-box leader". From Rfam's summary of the family: Uncharged tRNA acts as the effector for transcription antitermination of genes in the T-box leader family. T-boxes are found upstream of many aminoacyl-tRNA synthetase genes and some amino acid biosynthetic genes usually in Gram-positive bacteria. The anticodon of a specific tRNA base pairs to a specifier sequence within the T-box motif, and the NCCA acceptor tail of the tRNA base pairs to a conserved bulge in the T-box antiterminator hairpin. Lineage: Bacteria; Bacillati; Bacillota; Bacilli; Lactobacillales; Lactobacillaceae. The record is from RNAcentral.